RNAcentral lists this ribosomal RNA (274 nucleotides) under uncultured bacterium. RNAcentral describes it as "partial 16S ribosomal RNA". It matches the Rfam family "Bacterial small subunit ribosomal RNA", at positions 523 to 796 of the family's 1533-position model. The record is from RNAcentral.
AUACGGAGGGUGCAAGCGUUAUCCGGAUUUAUUGGGUUUAAAGGGUUCGUAGGCGGAUCAAUAAGUCAGUGGUGAAAGCCUGUGGCUCAACCAUAGAACUGCCAUUGAUACUGUUGAUCUUGAGUACACUUGAAGUGGGCGGAAUGCGUCAUGUAGCGGUGAAAUGCAUAGAUAUGACGCGGAACACCGAUUGCGAAGGCAGCUCACUAAAUUGUAACUGACGCUGAGGAACGAAAGCGUGGGGAGCGAACAGGAUUAGAUACCCUAGUAGUCC